GCUCUAGUAACGGCGAGUGAAGCAGCAAUAGCUCAAAUUUGAAAUCUGGCGUCUUCGACGUCCGAGUUGUAAUUUGUAGAGGAUGCUUCUGAGUAACCACCGACCUAAGUUCCUUGGAACAGGACGUCAUAGAGGGUGAGAAUCCCGUAUGCGGUCGGAAAGGUGCUCUAUACGUAGCUCCUUCGACGAGUCGAGUUGUUUGGGAAUGCAGCUCUAAAUGGGAGGUAAAUUUCUUCUAAAGCUAAAUAUUGGCCAGAGACCGAUGGCGCACAAGUAGAGUGAUCGAAAGAUGAAAAGCACUUUGGAAAGAGAGUUAAAAAGCACGUGAAAUUGUUAAAAGGGAAGGGAUUGCAACCAGACUUGCUCGCGGUGUUCCGCCGGUCUUCUGACCGGUCUACUCGCCGCGUUGCAGGCCAGCAUCGUCUGGUGCCGCUGGAUAAGACUUGAGGAAUGUAGCUCCCUCGGGAGUGUUUUAGCCUCUUGGAUGCAGCGAGCGCCGGGCGAGGUCCGCGCUUCGGCUAGGAUGCUGGCGUAAUGGUCGUAAUCCGCCCGUCUUGAAACACGGACCAAGGAGUCUAACAUCUAUGCGAGUGUUCGGGUGUCAAACCCCUACGCGUAAUGAAAGUGAACGGAGGUGAGAACCGCAGGUGCAUCAUCGACCGAUCCUGAUGUCUUCGGAUGGAUUUGAGUAAGAGCAUAGCUGUUGGGACCCGAAAGAUGGUGAACUAUGCCUGAAUAGGGUGAAGCCAGAGGAAACUCUGGUGGAGGCUCGCAGCGGUUCUGACGUGCAAAUCGAUCGUCAAAUUUGGGUAUAGGGGCGAAAGACUAAUCGAACCAUCUAGUAGCUGGUUCCUGCCGAAG
Molecule: ribosomal RNA, 861 nt
Filed under: uncultured fungus
Lineage: Eukaryota; Fungi
Description: LSU rRNA
Rfam family: Eukaryotic large subunit ribosomal RNA
Source: RNAcentral